Molecule: transfer RNA, 52 nt
Filed under: Agamermis sp. BH-2006
Lineage: Eukaryota; Metazoa; Nematoda; Enoplea; Mermithida; Mermithidae
Description: tRNA-Gly
Source: RNAcentral
CUAAUUCUAGUGUAAAAGCACAUAAAAUUUCCAAUUUUAAAGAUUUAUUAGA